AUUGAACGCUGGCGGCAUGCCUAACACAUGCAAGUCGAGCGGAUGAAGGGAGCUUGCUCCUGGAUUCAGCGGCGGACGGGUGAGUAAUGCCUAGGAAUCUGCCUGGUAGUGGGGGAUAACGUCCGGAAACGGGCGCUAAUACCGCAUACGUCCUGAGGGAGAAAGUGGGGGAUCUUCGGACCUCACGCUAUCAGAUGAGCCUAGGUCGGAUUAGCUAGUUGGUGGGGUAAAGGCCUACCAAGGCGACGAUCCGUAACUGGUCUGAGAGGAUGAUCAGUCACACUGGAACUGAGACACGGUCCAGACUCCUACGGGAGGCAGCAGUGGGGAAUAUUGGACAAUGGGCGAAAGCCUGAUCCAGCCAUGCCGCGUGUGUGAAGAAGGUCUUCGGAUUGUAAACCACUUUUAGUUGGGACGAAGGGCAGUUAGUUAAUACCUUGCUGUUUUGACGGUACCAACAGAAUAAGCACCGGCUAACUUCGUG
This 484-nucleotide ribosomal RNA is filed under the name uncultured bacterium. RNAcentral's name for it is "partial 16S ribosomal RNA". It matches the Rfam family "Bacterial small subunit ribosomal RNA", at positions 30 to 507 of the family's 1533-position model. The record is from RNAcentral.